This is a long non-coding RNA of Brienomyrus brachyistius, 286 nucleotides long. RefSeq lists it as uncharacterized. NCBI's taxonomy places the organism in Eukaryota, Metazoa, Chordata, Actinopteri, Osteoglossiformes, Mormyridae. The transcript has 3 exons. The record is from RefSeq and is a predicted model, not a curated record.
CUCAGCAGAUAAACUCCUCUUUCCCUCUGGUUGUGCGCACCAGUGAGGAAUGUGAAAAGCGGUGGUAUGUGUUGCCGUCUCAAGCCAGGAGGGAGAUUGCAGCACACAAACGGGAUUCUUCAAGCACAGGUGGAGGACCACCCGCUAAACAACUGUCUCAGGUAGCGGAAACUGUAUUUAAUGUACUUGGACACUCAGAAAUAUCUGUCACUGGGCUGAAGGAAGGCACAGACAGCUCAAUGAUCCAGCUAAUGGGAAUACAACAAAGCAUGGAACCAUCAGAGGA